RNAcentral lists this ribosomal RNA (253 nucleotides) under uncultured bacterium. RNAcentral describes it as "partial 16S ribosomal RNA". It matches the Rfam family "Bacterial small subunit ribosomal RNA", at positions 524 to 776 of the family's 1533-position model. The record is from RNAcentral.
UACGUAGGGGGCAAGCGUUGUCCGGAUUUAUUGGGCGUAAAGAGCGUGUAGGCGGCCAGGUAGGUCAGCUGUGAAAACUCGAGGCUCAACCUCGAGACGCCGGUUGAAACCAUCUGGCUAGAGUCCGGAAGAGGAGAGUGGAAUUCCUGGUGUAGCGGUGGAAUGCGCAGAUAUCAGGAGGAACACCGGUGGCGAAGGCGGGUCUCUGGGCAGUAACUGACGCUGAGGAGCGAAAGCGUGGGGAGCGAACAGG